This 110-nucleotide ribosomal RNA is filed under the name uncultured eukaryote. Its description in RNAcentral is "partial small subunit ribosomal RNA". It matches the Rfam family "Eukaryotic small subunit ribosomal RNA", at positions 1676 to 1785 of the family's 1831-position model. The record is from RNAcentral.
UCGCACCUACCGAUUGAAUGGUCCGGUGAAGCCUCGGGAUUGUGGUCUGGUUCCUUCAUUGGGGCCUGACCGCGAGAACUUGUCCGAACCUUAUCAUUUAGAGGAAGGUG